UACGGAAGGUCCUGGUGUUAUCCGGAUUUAUUGGGUUUAAAGGGAGCGUAGGCGGCUUUUUAAGCGUGUUGUGAAAUGCAGGUGCCCAACAUCUGCACUGCAGCGCGAACUGGAGAGCUGGAGGGCGCACGACGCAGGCGGAAUUUGUGGUGUAGCGGUGAAAUGCUUAGAUAUCACGAAGAACCCCGAUUGCGAAGGCAGCUUGCGGGAGCGCACCUGACGCUGAAGCUCGAAAGUGCGGGGAUCAAAC
This 250-nucleotide ribosomal RNA is filed under the name uncultured bacterium. Its description in RNAcentral is "partial 16S ribosomal RNA". It matches the Rfam family "Bacterial small subunit ribosomal RNA", at positions 524 to 773 of the family's 1533-position model. The record is from RNAcentral.